RNAcentral lists this ribosomal RNA (403 nucleotides) under uncultured bacterium. Its description in RNAcentral is "bacterial SSU rRNA". It matches the Rfam family "Bacterial small subunit ribosomal RNA", at positions 355 to 775 of the family's 1533-position model. The record is from RNAcentral.
UAGGGAAUAUUAGAAAUGGACGAAAGUCUGAUCUAGCAACACCGCGUGUGCGAAGAAGGCCUUCGGGUCGUAAAGUACUUUUUGGAAGGAAUAGGAAGGAAUGUACUUCCAGAAUAAGUCUCGGCUAACUACGUGCCAGCAGCCGCGGUAACACGUAGGAGGCAAACGUUAUCCGGAUUUACUGGGCGUAAAGCGCGUGUGGGUGGUACUGUAAGUAGGGCGUGAAAGCUCCUGGCUCAACUGGGAGAGGCCGUUCUAAACUACAGAACUAGAGGAUGGUAGAGGGAGGUGGAAUUCCAGGUGUAGCGGUGGAAUGCGCAGAUAUCUGGAGGAACACCGGUGGCGAAGGCGGCCUCCUGGACCAUUCCUGACACUCAGACGCGAAGGCUAGGGUAGCAAACGG